UGCAUAAUAGCUCAGUCGGUAGAGCAUGAGACUCUUAACCUCUGGGCCGUGGGUUUGAGCCCCGCAUUGGGCAA
Molecule: non-coding RNA, 74 nt
Organism: Podarcis lilfordi (Lilford's wall lizard)
Lineage: Eukaryota; Metazoa; Chordata; Lepidosauria; Squamata; Lacertidae
Source: the annotation of a GenBank genome assembly